AUUUUAAAAAUAUAACUCAACAUCUGUUUUACACAGAUGAGCAUGGCCCCUGUGCAAGGAUGACAUUCGGAUCUGUGAAGCAUUCUAUAACAUA
This is a small nuclear RNA of Gorilla gorilla gorilla (western lowland gorilla), 94 nucleotides long. The record is from Ensembl. NCBI's taxonomy places the organism in Eukaryota, Metazoa, Chordata, Mammalia, Primates, Hominidae.